Molecule: non-coding RNA, 68 nt
Organism: Rattus norvegicus (Norway rat)
Lineage: Eukaryota; Metazoa; Chordata; Mammalia; Rodentia; Muridae
Source: Rfam
UGCUUGUUUUGAAAAAUAAAACAGCUUUGAAGUGCCUGUUGCAGUUCCUACACAGCAUGAAGUGCUUA